GAUGAACGCUGGCGGCGUGCCUAAUACAUGCAAGUCGAGCGGAGAAUUUAGCAAUAGAUUCUUAGCGGCGAACGGGUGAGUAACGCGUUGGUGACCUGCCUCGAAGUUUGGGAUAACAGUUCGAAAGGACUGCUAAUACCGGAUGUGAUCGCGGAGAUUAGAGGCUCUGUGAUUAAAGGAGAAAUUCGCUUCGAGAGGGGCCUGCGUCCAUCAGCUAGUUGGUAAGGUAAAGGCUUACCAAGGCGAUGACGGGUAGGGGACCUGAGAGGGUGG
This 273-nucleotide ribosomal RNA is filed under the name uncultured bacterium. Its description in RNAcentral is "partial 16S ribosomal RNA". It matches the Rfam family "Bacterial small subunit ribosomal RNA", at positions 28 to 303 of the family's 1533-position model. The record is from RNAcentral.